AAGAAUUUCACGAAAUUUAUAUUUGCGAUCUACACCAUUCUAGUUGUCACUCAACAAGGUCUUCAGCUGAGAAUCCCUGUCAUGUGGCACCCCGUUUGGCAUCAAACAACUUCAGUUUAAAUAUGUAUGAUCGUGACUAAGACCUGAGCUAAUGGAUUAUUCAAGACCAUAAGUAACAACAAAAACAAACUAUGAAACCAAUUUCAAGAUAAAAAUUCUUGUGAAGAAGAUAUUCAAUAUGCCAGUUAAAAAUUUGAAACCAUAAUAAAAUCACAAGAUAUUGCAAUAAAUUGAAUAGCCAACACAUCAGCUGCUAAGUUUAAAUUGCAAAUAAAUUUAAUUAAAAAUGCAUUAAUUAAA
Long non-coding RNA from Musca domestica (house fly), 360 nucleotides. RefSeq lists it as uncharacterized. The record is from RefSeq and is a predicted model, not a curated record. The transcript has 2 exons. NCBI's taxonomy places the organism in Eukaryota, Metazoa, Arthropoda, Insecta, Diptera, Muscidae.